Molecule: small nuclear RNA, 102 nt
Filed under: Moschus moschiferus (Siberian musk deer)
Lineage: Eukaryota; Metazoa; Chordata; Mammalia; Artiodactyla; Moschidae
Source: RNAcentral
GUUCCUUUCAGGGGCACAUAAAGUAAAAUUAGAAUGAUGCAGAGUUAGCAUGGCACCUGGCUAAGGAUAAACAGACAACCUGGUGAAGUGUUUUACAUUUUU